RNAcentral lists this unclassified non-coding RNA (308 nucleotides) under plant metagenome. Its description in RNAcentral is "partial contains 5.8S ribosomal RNA, internal transcribed spacer 2, and large subunit ribosomal RNA". The stretch from base 1 to 105 matches the Rfam family "5.8S ribosomal RNA", at positions 50 to 154 of the family's 154-position model. The record is from RNAcentral.
GAAAUGCGAUCAGUAGUGUGAAUUGCAGAAUUCAGUGAAUCAUCGAAUCUUUGAACGCACAUUGCGCCCUUUGGUAUUCCAAAGGGCAUGCCUGUUCGAGCGUCAUUUGUACCCUCAAGCUUUGCUUGGUGUUGGGCGUCUUGUCUCUAGCUUUGCUGGAGACUCGCCUUAAAGUAAUUGGCAGCCGGCCUACUGGUUUCGGAGCGCAGCACAAGUCGCACUCUCUAUCAGCAAAGGUCUAGCAUCCAUUAAGCCUUUUUUUCAACUUUUGACCUCGGAUCAGGUAGGGAUACCCGCUGAACUUAAGC